Cylas formicarius (sweet potato weevil) is the source of this 1872-nucleotide long non-coding RNA. RefSeq lists it as uncharacterized. The record is from RefSeq and is a predicted model, not a curated record. The transcript has 2 exons. NCBI's taxonomy places the organism in Eukaryota, Metazoa, Arthropoda, Insecta, Coleoptera, Brentidae.
UCGAUAUGUAAUGUUAAUAUGCAAUACUGAUUUUGAGACAAAUAUCCCAUGGAUUUACUACUUCUACAUGCAGUGCACUCGUAACAACGUGUUUCGAUAUUAUACUACUACAAAUAAUAAAAAAAAUAAUAAAAAUAAAAUAUUUAUAAAGCACCUGCAUUUGCAAAAAUAAGUUAUAAAUUAUAUUAGAAAAAGAUGUUUGUCUGGAUCCCAAAAUAACCACCAAAAAAAUUCAAAAAUUAAAAAAAAAUAGUUUGCGUCAUUUUAUUGCUUCCAAUUUAAAGAGUCUAAAGGCGGGUCCAGACUUCUACCUCCCUCCCAAGUCUGAAGUCGCUAGCUGCAAAUGUGGAGUACUUAUUAUGUUUUAUAAAAUUGCACGGAAUAUCGCGAACACCCUGUACAAUACUUAAAAACCGUAUACACAAAACUUUAAGCUGUCUAUAUCGGCUAUAUCGUCACGUAAAAGAAACUGACAUCUAAAACACAGAUUUGGAAUUAUUGCCAAAUUUUCAAUAAUAAGGGGCCCCAUUUUUCAGUUUUUUUGAAUUUGCGGCGCACCCUGUAUAUUCGACAAUUGUCGACAACAAAAGUUUAUAGAGCCGUAUCUUCUGCUUCUUCUGGUUCAAGAAUUUUUUUGGUCUCUGAAACAGUUUUUGAUGUUUUUUGUAGACCCUUGCACACGCGAUUUUUAAUUUUUUUAGAAUACUUCCCGACCCCCCAACCCCCCAUUUUGAAUAGGUUCCGUCACGAGGCAAAGCUGCAUAUAUGUGCCAAAUAUGAAGUCGAUUGCUUCAAAUUUCGGACACUUGUCGUGUUUCAUAGCAAGGUCCAAAAAACAGUCGAAAAUCGCGAAAAAACGAUGGAUCAGGACCAUUUCUUAUAAGCUUAUGCGCCUCGUGAAAGAGGCAAAUUUCUAUUUCGCAGCUCCAACGAGAACGGAGAAAGGAGAACGGACAGACAAAAAAAAAUUUUUUUUCGACGGUGAUCAUUUCUGUACCCACGGCGAUCCCGUAGGACUGUUACGGAGAUAAAAAAUUUUUAUACGAGGGCAAGGAAACCUGAUGGCGGAGCCUCCAUAUGACAAAGCAGUAACCAGAAAGUUUUUUGAGAAUGUGGGGGGGGGUAUAGGGCGUUCACUGUAUUAUUAUCAUAGGUUCCCAGUUAGUCACGGUUCUAUAAUUAGACGUGCGUAUCCGUUUAAAUACGCUCGCGUGGUCCAGAUCGAAAAACGGAAUUAUUUCGUCGCCGCUUCGAAGAUUAUUAGCAACACGUGUGACUGAUAACAUUCGGUUAUAAAAUGCCACGGACUUGUAAAAAUUCCUCAGAUUGUUUUUGCUACAUGUGUGGGGAAUACAUACUAAAAACACAGCGACAUGUCAUGACCGAUCUGGUUAAAACAGCUUAUAAACUAUAUUUUAGAUUUUGCCAAAAUAUUGGUUGGUUGUCAAAAGUAUGCUGCAAUAGCCGCUCAAGAACGUUGAGAGGUUGCCUUGAAGAAAGUCACAAAUCCAUGCCGUUUUCAAUGCCAAUGAUUUGGAGUGAACCUCAAAAUCACGAGAAUGAUUGUUAUUUCUGCAUGACAUCUACACGAGGAUUUUCGAAAAAAAAUAGAGAUAAGAUUGUUUAUCCGAACGUCCUAUCUGCAAAGAGACCAAUUCCUCGUGAUAAAGACACUCCACCUCCAGUUCCACCAGUUAAUGAGGAGGCUGAAAAUAAAAAUAUUUCAGGUCUACAAUCUCAAUCGAGUUAUGUUAAUAUAAUUUAGGAUUUUUUACUGUAAAACUCAAGCCGCCACAUUUUUUAUUUCCUUGUAAUAAUUUAUGCUUUAAUAAUAUUGUUUUUUGAUGAAAUAAAUAUUAAAUUAAAAACCUA